This 421-nucleotide ribosomal RNA is filed under the name uncultured bacterium. RNAcentral describes it as "bacterial SSU rRNA". It matches the Rfam family "Bacterial small subunit ribosomal RNA", at positions 355 to 773 of the family's 1533-position model. The record is from RNAcentral.
UAAGGAAUAUUGGACAAUGGAGGCAACUCUGAUCCAGCCAUGCCGCGUGAAGGAAUAAGGCCCUAUGGGUUGUAAACUUCUUUUAGACGGGACAAAACCCCUUUACGUGUAAAGGGUUGAUGGUACGGUCAGAAUAAGCAUCGGCUAACUUCGUGCCAGCAGCCGCGGUAAUACGAAGGAUGCAAGCGGUAUCCGGAAUUAUAGGGGUGAAAGGGUGCGUAGGCGGACUAAUAAGUCAGUGGUGAAAGCCUGCAGCUUAACUGCAGAAUUGCCAUUGAUACUGUUAGUCUUGAGUACAGUUGAGGUAGGCGGAAUGUGUCAUGUAGCGGUGAAAUGCUUAGAUAUGACACAGAACACCGAUUGCGAAGGCAGCUUGCUAAGCUGUAACUGACGCUGAGGCACGAAAGCGUGGGGAGCAAAC